AACGAACGCUGGCGGCAUGCCUAACACAUGCAAGUCGAACGAGACCUUCGGGUCUAGUGGCGCACGGGUGCGUAACGCGUGGGAACCUGCCCUUAGGUUCGGAAUAACUCCCCGAAAGGGGUGCUAAUACCGGAUAAUGUCUUCGGACCAAAGAUUUAUCGCCUUUGGAUGGGCCCGCGUUGGAUUAGCUAGUUGGUAGGGUAAAAGCCUACCAAGGCGACGAUCCAUAGCUGGUCUGAGAGGAUGAUCAGCCACACUGGGACUGAGACACGGCCCAGACUCCUACGGAAGGCAGCAGUGGGGAAUAUUGAACAAUGGGCGAAAGCCUGAUCCAGCAAGGCCGCGUGAGUGAUGAAGGCCUUAGGGUUGUAAAGCUCUUUUACCCGGGAUGAUAAUGACAGUACCGGGAGAAUAAACUCCGGCUAACUCCGU
Molecule: ribosomal RNA, 432 nt
Filed under: uncultured bacterium
Lineage: Bacteria
Description: partial 16S ribosomal RNA
Rfam family: Bacterial small subunit ribosomal RNA
Source: RNAcentral